UUACCUUAUAAUGAUACAGAAAUGAAUAAAUAAUAGUAAAUGUUUUAUUGUGCUUUUGUUUACAUUUUUUAAUUGUGCUUUUGUUUAAAUGUUUUAACAUCUACCAUCAAAGUUGAGAAACAUAGAAAAUUGAACAACUAAUGGAACACAUUUCCAUCUUCCAUUGGUUGUUUUGUUGUGAACUUGUUGUGCUUUAACCCUCAUAUAUGAAUUCUCGAUACUACAUAUUGGGAUGGCACAAAUAUUCAAGUAUUACGAGCUUCUUCAAAUAUAUGAAGUUCUAUUUGGUUUUGGGCACAUGAUAUUAUAUACAUUUUAAAAGAUAAAAUUCUCCGAUAGUGAUUAUGGGAUAUUUAUUUUUUGGAUGUAAAUUCUAGACAAAAUUUUUUUGUUAUGAUGGUUGUAAUUGAUAUUAUACUUAUAAAUUAAAUUUAAAUGAAUAUAUAUUAUUUUUCUUGAA
This is a long non-coding RNA of Spinacia oleracea (spinach), 460 nucleotides long. RefSeq lists it as uncharacterized. The record is from RefSeq and is a predicted model, not a curated record. NCBI's taxonomy places the organism in Eukaryota, Viridiplantae, Streptophyta, Magnoliopsida, Caryophyllales, Amaranthaceae. The transcript is spliced from 2 exons.